AUUGAACGCUGGCGGCAUGCCUUACACAUACAAGUCGAACGGUUACAGGUCUUCGGAUGCUGACGAGUGGCGAACGGGUGAGUAAUACAUCGGAACGUGCCUAGUAGUGGGGGAUAACUACUCGAAAGAGUGGCUAAUACCGCAUGAGAUCUACGGAUGAAAGCAGGGGAUCGCAAGACCUUGUGCUACUAGAGCGGCCGAUGGCAGAUUAGGUAGUUGGUGGGAUAAAAGCUUACCAAGCCGACGAUCUGUAGCUGGUCUGAGAGGACGAUCAGCCACACUGGGACUGAGACACGGCCCAGACUCCUACGGGAGGCAGCAGUGGGGAAUUUUGGACAAUGGGCGCAAGCCUGAUCCAGCAAUGCCGCGUGCAGGAUGAAGGCCUUCGGGUUGUAAACUGCUUUUGUACGGAACGAAAAGCCCUGGGUUAAUACCCUGGGGUCAUGACGGUACCGUAAGAAUAAGCACCGGCUAACUACGUGCCAGCCGCCGCGGUGA
Molecule: ribosomal RNA, 498 nt
Filed under: uncultured bacterium
Lineage: Bacteria
Description: partial 16S ribosomal RNA
Rfam family: Bacterial small subunit ribosomal RNA
Source: RNAcentral